This 497-nucleotide ribosomal RNA is filed under the name uncultured bacterium. RNAcentral describes it as "partial 16S ribosomal RNA". It matches the Rfam family "Bacterial small subunit ribosomal RNA", at positions 28 to 507 of the family's 1533-position model. The record is from RNAcentral.
GAUGAACGCUGGCGGCGUGCCUAAUACAUGCAAGUCGAGCGAACAGACGAGGAGCUUGCUCCUCUGACGUUAGCGGCGGACGGGUGAGUAACACGUGGAUAACCUACCUAUAAGACUGGGAUAACUUCGGGAAACCGGAGCUAAUACCGGAUAAUAUAUUGAACCGCAUGGUUCAAUAGUGAAAGACGGUUUUGCUGUCACUUAUAGAUGGAUCCGCGCCGCAUUAGCUAGUUGGUAAGGUAACGGCUUACCAAGGCAACGAUGCGUAGCCGACCUGAGAGGGUGAUCGGCCAUACUGGAACUGAGACACGGUCCAGACUCCUAUGGGAGGCAGCAGUAGGGAAUCUUCCGCAAUGGGCGAAAGCCUGACGGAGCAACGCCGCGUGAGUGAUGAAGGUCUUCGGAUCGUAAAACUCUGUUAUUAGGGAAGAACAAAUGUGUAAGUAACUAUGCACGUCUUGACGGUACCUAAUCAGAAAGCCACGGCUAACUACGUG